UAGGGAAUCUUCCACAAUGGGCGAAAGCCUGAUGGAGCAACGCCGCGUGUGUGAUGAAGGGUUUCGGCUCGUAAAACACUGUUGUAAGAGAAGAAUGACAUUGAGGGUAACUGUUCAAUGUGUGACGGUAUCUUACCAGAAAGGAACGGCUAAAUAUGUGCCAG
Molecule: ribosomal RNA, 164 nt
Filed under: uncultured bacterium
Lineage: Bacteria
Description: partial 16S rRNA
Rfam family: Bacterial small subunit ribosomal RNA
Source: RNAcentral